This 492-nucleotide ribosomal RNA is filed under the name uncultured bacterium. RNAcentral describes it as "partial 16S ribosomal RNA". It matches the Rfam family "Bacterial small subunit ribosomal RNA", at positions 29 to 507 of the family's 1533-position model. The record is from RNAcentral.
AGUGAACGCUGGCGGUAGACCUAACACAUGCAAGUCGAACGGCAGCACAGUAAGAGCUUGCUCUUACGGGUGGCGAGUGGCGGACGGGUGAGGAAUACAUCGGAAUCUACUCUUUCGUGGGGGUUAACGUAGGGAAACUUACGCCAAUACCGCAUACGACCUACGGGUGAAAGCAGGGGAUCUUCGGACCUUGCGCGAUUGAAUGAGCCGAUGUCGGAUUAGCUAGUUGGCGGGGUAAAGGCCCACCAAGGCGACGAUCCGUAGCUGGUCUGAGAGGAUGAUCAGCCACACUGGAACUGAGACACGGUCCAGACUCCUACGAGAGGCAGCAGUGGGGAAUAUUGGACAAUGGGCGCAAGCCUGAUCCAGCCAUACCGCGUGGGUGAAGGAGGCCUUCGGGUUGUAAAGCCCUUUUGUUGGGAAAGAAAAGCAGCAGGUUAAUACCCCGCUGUUCUGACGGUACCCAAAGAAUAAGCACCGGCUAACUUCGUG